CGGGGUGCACCAGGCGCGAAACCUCUGCAAUAGGCGAAAGCUUGACAGGGUUACUCUGAGUGACGCCCGUUAAGGACGUCUUUUGGCACCUCUAAAAAUGGUGCAGAAUAAGGGGUGGGCAAGUCUGGUGUCAGCCGCCGCGGUAAUACCAGCACCCCGAGUGGUCGGGACGAUUAUUGGGCCUAAAGCAUCCGUAGCCGGUUCUGCAAGUCUUCCGUUAAAUCCACCUGCUCAACAGAUGGGCCGCGGAGGAUACUACAGGGCUAGGAGGCGGGAGAGGCAAGCGGUACUCAGUGGGUAGGGGUAAAAUCCUCUGAUCCACUGAAGACCACCAGUGGCGAAGGCGGCUUGCCAGAACGCGCUCGACGGUGAGGGAUGAAAGCUGGGGGAGCAAACCGGAUUAGAUACCCGGGUAGUCCCAGCUGUAAACGAUGCAGACUCGGUGAUGGGUUGGCUUCGAGCCAACCCAGUGCCGCAGGGAAGCCGUUAAGUCUGCCGCCUGGGGAGUACGGUCGCAAGACUGAAACUUAAAGGAAUUGGCGGGGGAGCCAAGGGCGAUUCGCG
Molecule: ribosomal RNA, 564 nt
Filed under: uncultured archaeon
Lineage: Archaea
Description: bacterial SSU rRNA
Rfam family: Archaeal small subunit ribosomal RNA
Source: RNAcentral